RNAcentral lists this ribosomal RNA (1253 nucleotides) under metagenome. RNAcentral describes it as "bacterial SSU rRNA". It matches the Rfam family "Bacterial small subunit ribosomal RNA", at positions 251 to 1498 of the family's 1533-position model. The record is from RNAcentral.
GGUGAGGUAACGGCUCACCUAGGCGACGAUACAUAGCCGACCUGAGAGGGUGAUCGGCCACACUGGGACUGAGACACGGCCCAGACUCCUACGGGAGGCAGCAGUAGGGAAUCUUCGGCAAUGGGGGCAACCCUGACCGAGCAACGCCGCGUGAGUGAAGAAGGUUUUCGGAUCGUAAAGCUCUGUUGUAAGUCAAGAACGAGUGUGAGAGUGGAAAGUUCACACUGUGACGGUAGCUUACCAGAAAGGGACGGCUAACUACGUGCCAGCAGCCGCGGUAAUACGUAGGUCCCGAGCGUUGUCCGGAUUUAUUGGGCGUAAAGCGAGCGCAGGCGGUUUGAUAAGUCUGAAGUUAAAGGCUGUGGCUCAACCAUAGUUCGCUUUGGAAACUGUCAAACUUGAGUGCAGAAGGGGAGAGUGGAAUUCCAUGUGUAGCGGUGAAAUGCGUAGAUAUAUGGAGGAACACCGGUGGCGAAAGCGGCUCUCUGGUCUGUAACUGACGCUGAGGCUCGAAAGCGUGGGGAGCGAACAGGAUUAGAUACCCUGGUAGUCCACGCCGUAAACGAUGAGUGCUAGGUGUUGGAUCCUUUCCGGGAUUCAGUGCCGCAGCUAACGCAUUAAGCACUCCGCCUGGGGAGUACGACCGCAAGGUUGAAACUCAAAGGAAUUGACGGGGGCCCGCACAAGCGGUGGAGCAUGUGGUUUAAUUCGAAGCAACGCGAAGAACCUUACCAGGUCUUGACAUCCCGAUGCUAUUUCUAGAGAUAGAAAGUUACUUCGGUACAUCGGUGACGGGUGGUGCAUGGUUGUCGUCAGCUCGUGUCGUGAGAUGUUGGGUUAAGUCCCGCAACGAGCGCAACCCCUAUUGUUAGUUGCCAUCAUUCAGUUGGGCACUCUAGCGAGACUGCCGGUAAUAAACCGGAGGAAGGUGGGGAUGACGUCAAACCAUCAUGCCCCUUAUGACCUGGGCUACACACGUGCUACAAUGGUUGGUACAACGAGUUGCGAGUCGGUGACGGCAAGCUAAUCUCUUAAAGCCAAUCUCAGUUCGGAUUGUAGGCUGCAACUCGCCUACAUGAAGUCGGAAUCGCUAGUAUCGCGGAUCAGCACGCCGCGGUGAAUACGUUCCCGGGCCUUGUACACACCGCCCGUCACACCACGAGAGUUUGUAACACCCGAAGUCGGUGAGGUAACCUUUUGGAGCCAGACGCCUAAGGUGGGAUAGAUGAUUGGGGUGAAGUCGUAACAAGGUA